AGCGUCUCUCCACAUUUUCCAGGUCGCAUUUCUGUUACCACAGAAAGAAAGGCUGAAUCGGCCCAAUUAGCUUUGUUCCCAUAUCCCAGCUCUCCUACUUCCUUUUGUUAUCCCCUUUGGCUAGAAAAGUUGGAACGGGAGGUCACUGUCUUUGAACGUGGUUGGAUUGUUGACCUGCAUAAGUAAGCCUAAUGACUGCCAGACCGGUACAAUCAAGGGAUAUCCUGUCUGACAACAUGAAGUAGGCCUAGACAUCUCAAAAGCCAACACAUCAUGCUCUGAACUAAAGGAAUUCAAGAACAGAAAGGUCUACAGUCCAGAUCCAGGACAACAUGGUGCACAUGAGGCGCAUAAGACUUCACAUGCUCUAUGUGCUGAAUAUUUAUUACCCACGGUGCACCGGUGAGGUCCCUUAAAAGAGAAGCUAU
This is a long non-coding RNA of Girardinichthys multiradiatus, 428 nucleotides long. RefSeq lists it as uncharacterized. The record is from RefSeq and is a predicted model, not a curated record. The transcript has 3 exons. Lineage: Eukaryota; Metazoa; Chordata; Actinopteri; Cyprinodontiformes; Goodeidae.